This 305-nucleotide long non-coding RNA is filed under the name Cavia porcellus (domestic guinea pig). RNAcentral describes it as "lncRNA (ENSCPOG00000040676.1)". The record is from RNAcentral. Lineage: Eukaryota; Metazoa; Chordata; Mammalia; Rodentia; Caviidae.
GUAAACAUAUCCAGAGGAGUACUUGGUACAUCAUUCUGAAAGCCGCUGCCAGUCCCCCACAGUUCUAUCAUAUGGUUCCCUGACCAGGAACGGCAGACAAGAGACUCCUGGGGCUUUCUCAGUUUGAGUCCCCUGCCAUUCAUGACUAGGACCGGACUGCAUCCUGCAUUAAUUCCUCACUUCUACACUCUGGAGCUGUAAACUUGUCAUUGCCGGUUCACAAACAAUACUGACCCAAUUUACCACAGGUGAGCAACCUCCCAGAGAUUGCCUCUGGGCCAGGCCCCAGGUGGGUUUUCUCCCCC